CUUGGUCAUUUAGAGGAAGUAAAAGUCGUAACAAGGUCUCCGUUGGUGAACCUGCGGUUGGAUCAUUAAUAAAUUUUAUUAAAGGUGUAAUAAAAGCGUUUGAAAAAACCUUUUUUAUACUCUUUAACAAAUUUUGUGAAUUUUAUUAACGUUUUUUGGGUAGAUCAUCUUUAAAGAUUGUUUUACCCAACAAAUUAUUUAAACCAAAAUUUUUUUAAAAAAUGUCUUUAAAAUGUUUUAUUUACAAAAAUAAUUUAAAAACAACUUUUAACAACGGAUCUCUUGGCUCUCGCAACGAUGAAGAACGCAGCGAAAUGCGAUAAGUAAUGUGAAUUGCAAAAUUCCGUGAAUCAUCAAAUCUUUGAACGCACAUUGCGCUUCCUGGUAUUCCGGGGAGCAUAUCUGUUUGAGAAUCAGUAUUAAUAUCAAAAUUUAGAAUUUAUUUUCUAAAUUUUGGAUUUGAGGAUUUUACUGUUAAAAAGGUAAUCCUUUAAUGAUAUUUAAAUGUUUUUUAAACUAGUUGUUGAUAAAAACUAAAGCAUGACUAAUGAGGGUUUACCCUCUAAAGAUUGCCUAUGGUUUUUAUUUACAAUUUUAACUAAUUUUUAAAACUAUUUAUUUAAUAUUACACGAAGAAAAUUUAAUAUUUUCUUUAAGACUUGAUCUCAAAUCAGAUAAGACUACCCGCUGAACUUAAGCAUAUCAAUAAGCGGAGGA
This 717-nucleotide ribosomal RNA is filed under the name uncultured Chytridiomycota. RNAcentral's name for it is "eukaryotic LSU rRNA". The stretch from base 263 to 416 matches the Rfam family "5.8S ribosomal RNA". The record is from RNAcentral. Lineage: Eukaryota; Fungi; Chytridiomycota.